This 331-nucleotide ribosomal RNA is filed under the name uncultured eukaryote. RNAcentral describes it as "partial 18S ribosomal RNA". It matches the Rfam family "Eukaryotic small subunit ribosomal RNA", at positions 1470 to 1796 of the family's 1831-position model. The record is from RNAcentral.
CCCUUAGAUGUUCUGGGCCGCACGCGCGCUACACUGUUCGACGCAGCGAGUCGUAACCUUGACCGAAAGGUUUGGGUAAUCUUCAGCAAAGUCGAACGUGAUGGGGAUCGAUCAUUGCAAUUAUUGAUCGUGAACGAGGAAUUCCUAGUAAGUGCAAGUCAUCAGCUUGCGCUGAUUACGUCCCUGCCCUUUGUACACACCGCCCGUCGCUACUACCGAUUGAAUGGUUUAGUGAGAUCUCUGGAUUGACGCUGGCUAGGGGGCGACCCUUGGCCAGACUGUUGAGAAACUGCUCAAACUUGAUCAUUUAGAGGAAGUAAAAGUCGUAACA